GCCACCGACGACGCGUCGCUGUCUCCGGAACACGUCUGGUACAACGGUUGCUGCUGCUGCUGUUGCUGUUGCUGCUGCUGCUGCUGCUGCUGCUGCUGCUGCUGCUGUUGUUGUUGCGGCCGAGGCGGCGACGGCUGCGGCGGUCCGUAC
This is a non-coding RNA of Cinara cedri, 150 nucleotides long. Lineage: Eukaryota; Metazoa; Arthropoda; Insecta; Hemiptera; Aphididae. The record is from the annotation of a GenBank genome assembly.